RNAcentral lists this ribosomal RNA (483 nucleotides) under uncultured bacterium. RNAcentral's name for it is "partial 16S ribosomal RNA". It matches the Rfam family "Bacterial small subunit ribosomal RNA", at positions 30 to 507 of the family's 1533-position model. The record is from RNAcentral.
AUUGAACGCUGGCGGCAGGCCUAACACAUGCAAGUCGAGCGGAUGAAGGGAGCUUGCUCCUGGAUUCAGCGGCGGACGGGUGAGUAAUGCCUAGGAAUCUGCCUGGUAGUGGGGGAUAACGUCCGGAAACGGGCGCUAAUACCGCAUACGUCCUGAGGAAGAAGUGGGGGAACUUUGGACCUCCACCUUAUCGAUGGACCUAGGUCGGAUUAGCUAGUUGGUGGGGUAAAGGCCUACCAAGGCGACGAUCCGUAACUGGUCUGAGAGGAUGAUCAGUCACACUGGAACUGAGACACGGUCCAGACUCCUACGGGAGGCAGCAGUGGGGAAUAUUGGACAAUGGGCGAAAGCCUGAUCCAGCCAUGCCGCGUGUGUGAAGAAGGUCUUCGGAUUGUAAAGCACUUUAAGUUGGGAGGAAGGGCAGUAAGUUAAUACCUUGCUGUUUUGACGUUACCAACAGAAUAAGCACCGGCUAACUUCGUG